This 497-nucleotide ribosomal RNA is filed under the name uncultured bacterium. Its description in RNAcentral is "partial 16S ribosomal RNA". It matches the Rfam family "Bacterial small subunit ribosomal RNA", at positions 28 to 507 of the family's 1533-position model. The record is from RNAcentral.
GAUGAACGCUGGCGGCGUGCCUAAUACAUGCAAGUCGAGCGAACGGACGAGAAGCUUGCUUCUCUGAUGUUAGCGGCGGACGGGUGAGUAACACGUGGAUAACCUACCUAUAAGACUGGGAUAACUUCGGGAAACCGGAGCUAAUACCGGAUAAUAUUUUGAACCGCAUGGUUCAAAAGUGAAAGGCGGUCUUGCUGUCACUUAUAUAUGGAUCCGCGCUGCAUUAGCUAGUUGGUAAGGUAACGGCUUACAAAGGCAACGAUGCAUAGCCGACCUGAGAGAGUGACCGGCCACGCUGGAACUGAGACACGGUCCAGACUCCUACGGGAGGAAGCAGUAGGGAAUCUUCCGCAAUGGGAGAAAGCAUGACGGAGCAACGCCGCGUGAGUGAUGAAGGUCUUCGGAUCGUAAAACUCUGUUAUUAGGGAAGAACAUAUGUGUAAGUAACUGUGCACAUCUUGACGGUACCUAAUCAGAAAGCCACGGCUAACUACGUG